GCCCAGACUCCUACGGGAGGCAGCAGUGGGGAAUAUUGGGCAAUGGGCGCAAGCCUGACCCAGCAACGCCGCGUGAAGGAAGAAGGCCCUCGGGUUGUAAACUUCUUUUCUAUAGGACGAAGAAGUGACGGUACUAUAGGAAUAAGCCACGGCUAACUACGUGCCAGCAGCCGCGGUAAUACGUAGGUGGCGAGCGUUAUCCGGAUUUACUGGGUGUAAAGGGCGUGUAGCCGGGCCGGCAAGUCAGAUGUGAAAUCCCAAGGCUCAACCUUGGAACUGCAUUUGAAACUGUUGGUCUUGAGUAUCGGAGAGGCAGGCGGAAUUCCUAGUGUAGCGGUGAAAUGCGUAGAUAUUAGGAGGAACACCAGUGGCGAAGGCGGCCUGCUGGACGACAACUGACGGUGAGGCGCGAAAGCGUGGGGAGCAAACAGGAUUAGAUACCCUAGUA
RNAcentral lists this ribosomal RNA (448 nucleotides) under uncultured bacterium. Its description in RNAcentral is "bacterial SSU rRNA". It matches the Rfam family "Bacterial small subunit ribosomal RNA", at positions 329 to 792 of the family's 1533-position model. The record is from RNAcentral.